Molecule: long non-coding RNA, 248 nt
Filed under: Cavia porcellus (domestic guinea pig)
Lineage: Eukaryota; Metazoa; Chordata; Mammalia; Rodentia; Caviidae
Description: lncRNA (ENSCPOG00000036478.1)
Source: RNAcentral
GCAUACUUAGCGCAGCCAGUUUUAGCCAUUCAGACACCACCCCACUGUGCCAUUUAGCUUCUGAUGGUGAAGGAUUUCUGCAGUACCUGCUUCAGCUCCAUGAAGUAUCUCCCAGAUGUGCACUGAGUAUUAUUAGCAUGGCUUCAAGGAAAGUGCUGGUGUGAAGUCCUGGAACAGAGGUGAAUGUGUUCCUCACACAGGGUGAGAGCUGUAAGGUGGUUCACAAGGUGCUGUGGUGCUCUGUGGGC